GCACCUGUAGCUCAGUUGGAUAGAGUAGCGGUUUCCGAAGCCGUUGGUCGCUGGUUCGAAUCCAGUCAGGUGCGCCA
This 77-nucleotide transfer RNA is filed under the name Cellvibrio fibrivorans. RNAcentral's name for it is "tRNA-Arg". It matches the Rfam family "tRNA". From Rfam's summary of the family: Transfer RNA (tRNA) molecules are approximately 80 nucleotides in length. Their secondary structure includes four short double-helical elements and three loops (D, anti-codon, and T loops). Further hydrogen bonds mediate the characteristic L-shaped molecular structure. tRNAs have two regions of fundamental functional importance: the anti-codon, which is responsible for specific mRNA codon recognition, and the 3' end, to which the tRNAs corresponding amino acid is attached (by aminoacyl-tRNA synthetases). tRNAs cope with the degeneracy of the genetic code in two manners: having more than one tRNA (with a specific anti-codon) for a particular amino acid; and 'wobble' base-pairing, i.e. permitting non-standard base-pairing at the 3rd anti-codon position. Lineage: Bacteria; Pseudomonadati; Pseudomonadota; Gammaproteobacteria; Cellvibrionales; Cellvibrionaceae. RNAcentral also lists the same sequence under 6 other names. The record is from RNAcentral.